RNAcentral lists this non-coding RNA (25 nucleotides) under Drosophila melanogaster (fruit fly). Lineage: Eukaryota; Metazoa; Arthropoda; Insecta; Diptera; Drosophilidae. The record is from RNAcentral.
CAAGAUAUGACCAAAGUAAAGACAC